RNAcentral lists this ribosomal RNA (327 nucleotides) under uncultured prokaryote. Its description in RNAcentral is "bacterial SSU rRNA". It matches the Rfam family "Bacterial small subunit ribosomal RNA", at positions 26 to 352 of the family's 1533-position model. The record is from RNAcentral.
AGGUUGAACGCUGGCGGCAUGCCUAACACAUGCAAGUCGAACGGCAGCACGGGGGGCAACCCUGGUGGCGAGUGGCGAGCGGGUGAGUAAUGCAUCGGAACGUAUCCUUGAGUGGGGGAUAACGCAGCGAAAGUUGUGCUAAUACCGCAUAAGCUCUGAGGAGGAAAGCGGGGGACCGAAAGGCCUCGCGCUGAAGGAGCGGCCGAUGUCCGAUUAGCUUAGUUGGUGAGGUAAAGGCUUACCAAGGCGACGAUCGGUAGCUGGUCUGAGAGGAUGAUCAACCACACUGGGACUGAGACACGGCCCAGACCUCCUACGGGCGGCAGC